UACCAGCACCCCCGAGUGGUCGGGACGAUUAUUGGGCCUAAAGCAUCCGUAGCCGGUCCUACAAGUCUUCCGUUAAAUCCACCUGCUUAACAGAUGGGCUGCGGAAGAUACUAUAGGGCUAGGAGGCGGGAGAGGCAAGCGGUACUCAGUGGGUAGGGGUAAAAUCCUCUGAUCCAUUGAAGACCACCAGUGGCGAAGGCGGCUUGCCAGAACGCGCUCGACGGUGAGGGAUGAAAGCUGGGGGGAGCAAACCGG
This 255-nucleotide ribosomal RNA is filed under the name uncultured bacterium. RNAcentral's name for it is "partial 16S ribosomal RNA". It matches the Rfam family "Archaeal small subunit ribosomal RNA", at positions 474 to 727 of the family's 1478-position model. The record is from RNAcentral.